CUACUUUAUUGAUCACACUACACACAAGACAACAUGGGAGGACCCCAGGUUAAAGAGGCCAGAGGCAAUUCCUUUGACUCAGUUUAAGAUUCAAGCUCAAAUAUGUAUUUAUACAAGUUCCUUUUUCGAAGUGAAAUUUAUGUAGAGCUGCUAAAACUACCAGAAAAAGUCAGAGUCCAGAGUUCAUAGCAUGUCUAAAAGCAGAACAGGAUAUUGGAGUAUGAAAGAAUGGUUUCAAAUAUUGAGCGAAAGUUAGGGAGUCAUUUCUGGUAGGGCUGAGACAUUGGGGCACAGGGGAACCAAGCAAAGACAAAUUCUUGAGAAGAGACCACUAUAAAGACUUUGACCUUUUCACUCUGAUGGCAAACAGUUGUCCUCAAUGAUCAACUUCCUGUUAUCCAUAAUUGCAACAUUCACAUUUGGUUACAUUUCGUCACAGUAAACCUUUCCUUCCAUUGCUGUGGUGUCUGUAAAUGGGGUGGAUAUGUACAGAGCCACAAAGCUGCCUGUAAAAUAUCCUCCAUGCUCAGAGAGAUGGGCUUCUGCUUCUGCUUCUGCAAAAUCCCUCUGGAACAAGUUAAAGCUCGCCAGAGUGAGAGAGGGCUGUGAAGUUAAGAUUAACUUAGACCCAAAAUCAUGGCCUCUACCUUCAGAAAACGUCUUCAGAUGCAACUUUCAGUCAAUUGCAGUCUAAAAUUAACCUUUGAACCCUUGUCAACGAAAAUGGAGAAUUUAAAGGGAAUUUUAAUAUGACAGUUCAGCUAAAAGGCAGUGAACUGAGUAAUCCAUGACCUGGUUGGAAUCAAAUAACAAACCAUAAUUGUUUCUUUUUGUUUCAGCGAGUGAUUAUUAGAGUUUUGCUGGCAUUUAUCAGAGCAAUUGCUGAACUGUUUUUCAUGGCUAAAGUUGAGAUUUGAUUGAGAUAAAAAUUAGUUUUCAAUUCAAAAUAAAAUGUUUUUUUUGCUGUAAAUGAUGAAAUGGAAGAAACAUCUAAUCUGAAAUGUUAAUGGUAGUUGCACUUGACAAGUGCAUGUGAGCUUAAAGUGAUGUUGCACUGAAUACUAUUUCCUCCAUCUUUUGU
This is a non-coding RNA of Pocillopora verrucosa, 1081 nucleotides long. NCBI's taxonomy places the organism in Eukaryota, Metazoa, Cnidaria, Anthozoa, Scleractinia, Pocilloporidae. The record is from RefSeq and is a predicted model, not a curated record.